UAAGAAGCCACCAUGACUCUGAGGCCUCCCCCGCCAUGUGGAACUUGUUUUCUGGGGGGCAAUUCCUACAUUCCAGGCCCGCUUCAAGAAUUGAUGUGCAACCCAGCGUAGGGAAGAACUGCUUCUGGACUGCACCUGAGGCAGCACCACCGGCAACGGAGCCCCGCCACCUGCUGUACCCGUCCACCUUCUCUGGUUGACCUCCCUGGGGCCAGACAGCCCACUCAGAGUCCGUGCUCCCUCCUAUGGAGAUGAAGGAGCUGUGUCCACAGGCGUGCACACAGGGAGAACGCCGUGGGAACCUGCAGGCAGAGACUGGGGGUGCAUCUACCAGCCAAGGAACACCCAGGACUGCCAGCAGUACCAGGAAGUUGCAGAGCAACACGGGCAUCCUCCUUACCGCUCUCAGAAGAUUCCAGCCCUGCAGAUACCUGAACCUUCAGUUUCCAACCUCCAGACCUGGAAGACAGUAAAGCUCUGUUGUUGUAGCCCCUGGUGUGUGGUCCUUUGUGACAGCAGCCCUAGGACCCUAACUCACUCCUCCCACACAGCCUUUAUCAUGAAGGUCCAGUUCCUGAGUUCGGCACACUGUGCCCCCACCAGGUCAGACAUUUGAGUAACUCUCCAACCCCGACACGCCAGUUGGACCAAACUCUGUGCGCUUGUUGAACUGGGCCCUUCCUUUGAACACACUUCUCAGUUUUGCUUGGCUAGUUCCUACUUGUCUACAAGAGCGAGCUCAUACAUGGCGUCCUCUGGACAGCCUUCCCUGACCUUCCGGCCUGGCCGAAGGGCUGUGCUGUGCCCGCAAAGCCUGCUGAGCGUGCGUCUACCAUUGAACUUAUUCCACCUUCUUAUGAUAAUUGACUGACUUAUCUGUCAACCCCUUGAGACUAAGAGCUCCUUGAGGGCAGAUAUAUUGAGUCUUCAGUGCCCACUAUGAAUCACCAGUUAACAAAAUCCACUCCCUUAAUGUGCACCUGUAGAUAUAAAGAAUGGAUUUAAAACUUAAACACAGGACAAGGAACCAGUUGCCUAUUCCAGACUUGAGCAUCAUAUGAACGCAUGAGGUAUAGAUUCUCCUCCAAGCUGGAGUGAGGUGAAUGAAAAUCAAGGUGAACCACCACAUCUUCAGCUCAUUAUUAUCUCUCCUACGAAAUGAGAAGGAUCCAUAUUUAUUCCACUUUCUCCCCACCCCCAGCAGAUAAAGGAUGCCUCCUGAUUUUCAUGCUGCAACUCAUAAAAUGUGACAGGUCUGUAAGGAACUUGUCUUUGCGGAUGGAAGCAGAGCGCCCUGAGUGGGGAUGAGAUGCUUCCUGAUGCUGCAGUACCGGUUGGGCACCACAAGAGGGAGCCAGGAAUGGCUGGACGGGUUGAUACACCCAACAAACCAAGUAAUUUUGGCAUCUAGGAGUUGAGAACAUUCCUAAAACAGAAAAUCUCAGGAUACAAGAGCUGUUUUCCCAGUGAUAUAAGAUCCCUCCCCUGCCUCACCCUUUCUCCCUCCACCCCCAGUUCCCACAUUGAAUAUUUUCAAUCUUCAAUAGAUUAAAUAUUGAAGACUGAAGAUAGAAUAUUUUCCAUCUUCAGGCCAGUAGUCAGAUAAGCAUCUACAAAAGACGGAGCCACGCGGGGUUUACAAAAGUCACCUGUAUUCCAGCCAAAAUAGCUUUAAAAAGGAAUCCCUGC
Molecule: long non-coding RNA, 1689 nt
Filed under: Homo sapiens (human)
Lineage: Eukaryota; Metazoa; Chordata; Mammalia; Primates; Hominidae
Description: HSALNT0026707
Source: RNAcentral